RNAcentral lists this ribosomal RNA (3592 nucleotides) under Globorotalia hirsuta. RNAcentral describes it as "SSU rRNA". It matches the Rfam family "Eukaryotic small subunit ribosomal RNA". The record is from RNAcentral. Lineage: Eukaryota; Foraminifera; Rotaliida; Globorotaliidae.
CUCAAAGAUUAAGCCAUGCAAGUGGUUUGUUACCCCGACAGUCUAAAUUAGUGUCUAAAGUCUAUGGUUUAUGGUUUAACGGUCUAAUGCCUCGUGUAUCACUCUCCCUUUAUACAUAACCUUACACGAGCCAUUCCAUGUUAGAAAUAUAUUACUAAUGCAACUGCAAACAGCUGCUUAAUACAGUUACACUUGUCUUGACUUGGCCUUCCUAGGUCCGCUUUAUUGCUUGACUGCUCUCAAAAGAGUAUAUUCUGCUAAUCCCUUAUCUAUUAUGGAUAACUCAGGGAAAGCUUGGCUAAUACAUACGAGAAUUCUAACUUACCCCACCACCACCAUUCUCAGCUCUCAAUGGAAGAACUUAUUGGCACAGCUCUUUGCAAUAUAAUGUGUAAGCUUCGGCUUAUUACGUUUAUGCUCUAGAGUCGAUGUGUCAAACCACACUAUUUUAUCCUAAGUUCUCAAGCAACAUGAAAGACAUUGAGUAAGCCAUUGCUUUAGUUUAAUUUUAUUAAACUAAGCUCUUAGAGCAGAGCAGACAUUGUAAAGAUUAUCUUUACGAUGCAUGUCAUACAAGCAUCUACAGCAUCAAGUCACAGGGUUGGCAAGUGUAUUUUUGAACCUUCAAAGCAGUCACGCAUACGGAAGAGUAGUUUCUGAUCCCAUAGAAGGAGCACCGUGCAAUGAGAGACCGCUCUUAGUUCUAAGGAACGCAGCAGGCGCGUAAAUUGCCCAAUGACAGUACCCUACGAUAAUACAGCUCUUUAAUAGAGACUGGUUAACGAUAUCUAUUGAUUCAUUGCGAUUACAUACGCAACACACAACCUGACCGUAUAUGAGUAAUUCAUUACUCCUCUAUACAAACCAUACCUUACACUUAUACAUUGACUAUUCUGUCAAUUGUUUAUUAAACAUAUAUCCUUGUCAUCUGUGUGACGCGUAAACUGUAUAGCAUAUCUGAUAUCCUAUAUAUCUUUUACGUUGAGGCAGUGAUAAGCUGUAACGGUUGAGUAUAAUUAUUGACGAGUGUCUGGCAUUGCCGCGCCUUCGGGCGUUGGCAAGUUGCCGACGCUUAGUGUGCUCAAUUGGAAUGCGGUGAGUCUAAGCCACUCAGAAUCUCUUAGCGGUUAGCGCUUAACAGCGUUUAACUGUUGAUCUAUCUGAAUUUCAAGUGGAGGGCAAGUCUGGUGCCAGCAGCCGCGGUAAUACCAGCUCCACUGGCCUAUACAAUCAUUGUUGCGGUUAAGAGGCUCGUAGUUGGAUUGAACUAACAUAUUAAAGCUCUCUCUCUCUCUUAUACUUUACUGUGUAUGCAAGAUACAUACACUGAGAGAAAGUGUUAGUAUCGCAUGUAUAUCUUCUUUCUAUCCUAUUCACUAAUGGAAAGUUACAUGCUCGACUGUAUUUGCUAAUAGCAAUAACAAGUCUGAAUGUGAUACAUACACCUUACCGUACACUCUUUACUGUAUCAGUGUGUAUCUCUUGUAAAGAGAGAUAUAUAUAUAGAGACCUUUACUGUUCCAACACUGUGAACAAAUCAGAGCGUAUCAAGCGUGUUGUUCUAACCUGUGCAUUGAAUGUCUUAUCAUGGAAUGUUGCACUCAUUGGUUAAGAAUUACAAGCCACUCUUUUGUAUUGUAAUACACUAAUAACUCUUUACAAAGAGUGGUGGUAAUCUACAUUCUUACUGCUAAGAAUACGUCGAUGGGGAUAGUUGGAGUAAGCAGUACUGCUGGGCGAGCGGUGAAAUGCGUUGACCCUAGCAAUACUCCCAAAAGCGAAAGCAGCUUACUAGGCUAUACUCUUUGUGUUUAUACUGUAUUUUAUGCUAAUAGCUUCUUAUACUCUAUAUUUCAAUAAAAGCUAUUACAUAUAUAUACUCUAUUUCACUUAACAAUGAUGAACGAAGGUUGGGGGAUCAAAGAGGAUCAGAUACCCUCGUCGUCCCAUUUGUUACAGCAAACGAUGGACUCUCAAUUGCAAUUGUUAAAUUACAGUCAGUAAUUGAAUCUAUGUACCCUCCAACCUGCAAAUUAUAACCUGGCUUGAGCUCGUAUUCUCUAUCUCUUAACAGAAUAGAUCUUACGCUCGCCUAACAUUUUAAUACGUACGGUCUCGAUGGAACAUUACCUUACAAUCUGAGUAAUCUUUUUUUGCGUGUAAGCUUUUACAUGUCUGGUUCUUUAUGUAAUAAAGCUUAGCUUUAUAGCUUGGCUCUUUACAUGGCCUUACAUGGCGUGCACUUGAUUUUCGGAGCUUUGCGCUCAAUUCUGGUGAGAUGUAAGCACUUAUGUUCGACUGCCACCUUAGCUUUUAACCUUUUAGUCUAACUAAAUAGGCUUUAUCUGCCUCUCGUGUGACGCAUGUCGUAACAACCUUUAGUGUGAAGCACGUGUUAGGCACGCGCUUACUGCAGAAAUGUCUGAGACAUUCUCCUCCGGGGGUAGUAUGCACGCAAGUGUGAAACUUGAAGGAAUUGACGGAAGGGCACCACAAGAACGCGUGGAGCAUGUGGCUUAAUUUGACUCAACGCGGGGAAUCUUACCGGGUCCGGACACACUGAGGAUUGACAGGCAAAUCUAAUAGAAUCUUUCUCAUUUUUAAUGAGUAUAGAUUUCUAUUUGUUAUAAAGAUGCUAGUCCUUUCAUGAUUAUGUGAUAGGUGGUGCAUGGCCGUUCUUAGUUCGUGGAGUGAUCUGUCUGCUUAAUUGCGUUUCACUAAGGUCCAGUAAUCUAAGGUAUGCUCGUCUACUUAUCUCAUAUGACGCUGAUAGACCCCUCGUAAGAGCGCGUUGUCUAUUGCGUUAAUAUAUGUAACAAGUGACACAUACUGUUGGGAUCUGAAAGCAACGAACGUGACCGCAACGUCUUGUUGCCUUUCUAAUUUAUUCUAAUUCUUUUGUAAUUAGUCUAAUAACAAAGGCUAUUCUUUAAACUAGACGGACCGCUGUUUCUCUUUUAAACCAGAGGAAGGUUGCGGCAAUAACAGGUCUGUGAUGCCCUUAGAUGUUCCGGGCUGCACACGUGCUACAAUGAUCAGUACAGUGAGCAUCUCAAUUUAUUACUAACACCGCUUUAUUAAAGCAUUCAGUGUGUAGUUGUGUAAGCAGCUGCCUCUGAUAUGCGCGGUAACACCUGUCUCGAGAGUCGAUGGGUAAUCCAUUAGAAGUAAUGAUUCCUCUCUUUUAUAUAGCACACUGAUAUACAGCAUCGGUUCCCGAGGUAACCUUGUGUUACUUAUGUGCGAGCGUGAUGUCAGAGCUUAACGUUUAUUAUUCUUUAUGUCUAAUAGAUCUCUGAUUUUACUGUAUGUGCAAUUGUUAAUUCGUGGUGGGGACAGACCAUUGUUAACUAUUGGUCUCGGUCUUAACUAGGAAUGCCUCGUACGGGUCUUGGUUCAACAAGCCACCCGGAAUACGUCCCUGCCCUUUGUACACACCGCCCGUCGCUCUUACCGAUGAACUUCUUUGUGAGUCUAAGGGACUGGGUAAUGAUUCAUUCUUUUCUAAAGUUUGAAUUACCUAUAGAAACUUAGCCGAACAAGGUGGUUUAAAGGAAAGAGAAGUCGUAACAAGGCAGCAGUAGGUGAACCU